Molecule: long non-coding RNA, 343 nt
Organism: Olea europaea var. sylvestris
Lineage: Eukaryota; Viridiplantae; Streptophyta; Magnoliopsida; Lamiales; Oleaceae
Exons: 3
Source: RefSeq, a predicted model, not a curated record
AGAUGAUAUUUGUACGAAUUGGAGCUCAAGUUUGGGGAUUUCUUCAUUUCCAAUUUCAGCUAGGUGGUGGCGAAGAAAUUGGAAACGUUUAUCAGCCAAUCUAGCUUGUAGCUCAUACCUUGUGACCGUCGAUUUUGAGAUACUGGGAAAACUCUGCUGAAGCGAAAGAGACCGUUUCAUAGUAUUUAAUGUAUAGUUGGGGGACUCAUGUUUAUUAAGUACUUUGUCUAAUAUUUGGGGCGUCAUGCACUUUGUAGAAGGGUUUGUAAUUGAUGUAAUGCUUGCAUGUAGACAUGAUGUCGUUGUAAAAGCACUCAGUCGAAAUUUGUUAUAUUUUAUUUUA